Molecule: ribosomal RNA, 823 nt
Filed under: uncultured bacterium
Lineage: Bacteria
Description: bacterial SSU rRNA
Rfam family: Bacterial small subunit ribosomal RNA
Source: RNAcentral
CAGUCGAACGGAGAUUACAGGCGGAAGUUUUCGGAUGGAAGCUUGUAAACUUAGUGGCGGACGGGUGAGUAACACGUGAGCAACCUGCCUAUCAGAGGGGGAUAACGAUUGGAAACGAUCGCUAAUACCGCAUGACAUAGCGGAACCGCAUGGUUCUGUUAUCAAAGAUUUAUCGCUGAUAGAUGGGCUCGCGUCCGAUUAGAUAGUUGGUGGGGUAACGGCCUACCAAGUCGACGAUCGGUAGCCGGACUGAGAGGUCGAACGGCCACAUUGGGACUGAGACACGGCCCAGACUCCUACGGGAGGCAGCAGUGGGGGAUAUUGCACAAUGGGGGAAACCCUGAUGCAGCGACGCCGCGUGAGGGAAGACGGUCCUCUGGAUUGUAAACCUCUGUCUUCGGGGACGAAACGAGACGGUACCCGAGGAGGAAGCCACGGCUAACUACGUGCCAGCAGCCGCGGUAAUACGUAGGUGGCAAGCGUUGUCCGGAAUUACUGGGUGUAAAGGGAGCGUAGGCGGGCAGGCAAGUCAGGCGUGAAAUAUAUCGGCUCAACCGGUAACGGCGCUUGAAACUGCAGGUCUUGAGUGAAGUAGAGGUUGGCGGAAUUCCUAGUGUAGCGGUGAAAUGCGUAGAUAUUAGGAGGAACACCAGUGGCGAAGGCGGCCAACUGGGCUUUUACUGACGCUGAGGCUCGAAAGUGUGGGGAGCAAACAGGAUUAGAUACCCUGGUAGUCCACACCGUAAACGAUGAUUACUAGGUGUGGGGGGACUGACCCCUUCCGUGCCGGAGUUAACACAAUAAGUAAUCCACCUGGGGAGUA